CUCUGAUGGAGCUCGAGCUCAUGAGGCACAGCGCGUGCACAGCCCGAGGCGCUGCCGACAAACUUCACCCCGGGGGCAAAAACCUGAGCGACACACGGACAAAGCAGGACAAACCAAAUAAAAAAGUCAUCUCGGUGCACAAGACAGUCGAGAGAGCGAGCAGAACAAGACAGGGCAACCUCGAACCGGUGUAAAGGACAGUUUGAAGAAGGACAUUGUGUGUGACCCAUCGUCUGUGGCCCCCGGGAGAGCGGCUCUGCUUUCGCCCGAUGCAGAGAUCAUCUAUCAGUUGCUGUCAGGCCACAUGAGGACGCGUGUCUGUGUGUUUUGCACCCAUUCUCUGAUCCAGGCCUCAAGCAUCCAUCACCCUGAACCCCAGCAGGCCUGUCACGCUGUCUCAAUCCCCUGAUUCUGACUCUUCUCCUGCUGCGUGCCUCUCCCGGCCCUUCCUGGAGACCCCAGGGCCCCUCACCCUCAAUGGAGAGCAGGG
Puntigrus tetrazona (Sumatra barb) is the source of this 490-nucleotide long non-coding RNA. RefSeq lists it as uncharacterized. NCBI's taxonomy places the organism in Eukaryota, Metazoa, Chordata, Actinopteri, Cypriniformes, Cyprinidae. The record is from RefSeq and is a predicted model, not a curated record. The transcript has 3 exons.